Molecule: ribosomal RNA, 253 nt
Filed under: uncultured bacterium
Lineage: Bacteria
Description: partial 16S ribosomal RNA
Rfam family: Bacterial small subunit ribosomal RNA
Source: RNAcentral
UACGAAGGGGGCUAGCGUUGCUCGGAAUCACUGGGCGUAAAGCGCACGUAGGCGGCUUCUUAAGUCAGGGGUGAAAUCCUGGAGCUCAACUCCAGAACUGCCUUUGAUACUGGGAAGCUUGAGUUCGGGAGAGGUGAGUGGAACUGCGAGUGUAGAGGUGAAAUUCGUAGAUAUUCGCAAGAACACCAGUGGCGAAGGCGGCUCACUGGCCCGAUACUGACGCUGAGGCACGAAAGCGUGGGGAGCAAACAGG